This 339-nucleotide long non-coding RNA is filed under the name Aotus nancymaae (Ma's night monkey). Its description in RNAcentral is "lncRNA (ENSANAG00000038542.1)". The record is from RNAcentral. Lineage: Eukaryota; Metazoa; Chordata; Mammalia; Primates; Aotidae.
CGCGGGGUCUUUUGGGAAUUGCAGUUCCCGCUCCGCUCUGUCCCGUCACUGGACUUUUUGCCCUCUGUUGCGGGGUCCCUCAGGCGGCCACCCAGUGGGCACAAGCCCAGGCGGCGCUCUGACCCCGCGCUUCUUCCCUCUGCCUUUCAUUCCCAGCUGUCAACAUCCUGGAAGGGACUUCGAAUUCAACAUAUCCACAAUCAAGCUAAUGAUCUCUUUUUGACUCCAGAUGUGGACCUUCAUCCAGUGGGAUUUAGUUAAGGUCUAAUUCCAACUCAGAAAGGGAAACUGUCAUAAAAUUGUAUUUUUCAAACAUAUUUUAAAAAUCUUAUUUAAUGA